RNAcentral lists this ribosomal RNA (497 nucleotides) under uncultured bacterium. RNAcentral describes it as "partial 16S ribosomal RNA". It matches the Rfam family "Bacterial small subunit ribosomal RNA", at positions 28 to 507 of the family's 1533-position model. The record is from RNAcentral.
GACGAACGCUGGCGGCGUGCCUAAUACAUGCAAGUUGAGCGCUGAAGGUUGGUACUUGUACCAACUGGAUGAGCAGCGCACGGGUGAGUAACGCGUGGGGAAUCUGCCUUUGAGCGGGGGACAACAUUUGGAAACGAAUGCUAAUACCGCAUAAAAACUUUAAACACAAGUUUUAAGUUUGAAAGAUGCAAUUGCAUCACUCAAAGAUGAUCCCGCGUUGUAUUAGCUAGUUGGUGAGGUAAAGGCUCACCAAGGCGAUGAUACAUAGCCGACCUGAGAGGGUGAUCGGCCAAAUUGGGACUGAGACACGGCCCAAACCCCUACGGGAGGCAGCAGGAGGGGAACUUCGGCAAUGGAGGAAAGUCUGACCGAGCAACGCCGCGUGAGUGAAGAAGGUUUUCGGAUCGUAAAACUCUGUUGGUAGGGAAGAAAGUUGGUGAGAGUGGAAAGCUCAUCAAGUGACAGUAACUACACAGAAAGGGACGGCUAACUACGUG